AAACUUUCAACAACGGAUCUCUUGGUUCUGGCAUCGAUGAAGAACGCAGCGAAAUGCGAUAAGUAAUGUGAAUUGCAGAACUUCAGUGAAUCAUCGAAUCUUUGAACGCACAUUGCGCCCCCUGGUACUCCGGGGGGCAUGCCUGUUCGAGCGUCAUU
RNAcentral lists this ribosomal RNA (158 nucleotides) under Chaenothecopsis golubkovae. RNAcentral describes it as "5.8S ribosomal RNA". It matches the Rfam family "5.8S ribosomal RNA". From Rfam's summary of the family: 5.8S ribosomal RNA (5.8S rRNA) is a component of the large subunit of the eukaryotic ribosome. It is transcribed by RNA polymerase I as part of the 45S precursor that also contains 18S and 28S rRNA. Functionally, it is thought that 5.8S rRNA may be involved in ribosome translocation. Lineage: Eukaryota; Fungi; Ascomycota; Eurotiomycetes; Mycocaliciales; Mycocaliciaceae. The record is from RNAcentral.